RNAcentral lists this long non-coding RNA (256 nucleotides) under Elaeis guineensis (African oil palm). Its description in RNAcentral is "long non-coding RNA (EGUI_LNC052328)". Lineage: Eukaryota; Viridiplantae; Streptophyta; Magnoliopsida; Arecales; Arecaceae. The record is from RNAcentral.
UAUAGAUUCAAUUCUAUCUGGUAGUGGGAUAUACAAUGAUCUCUAUCAAAGUAUCAUUGAAACUCUUUUCAAUGGGAUGGAACAAUUCCACUCUAACUCAUCAAGGGUUGUCGAUCCAGAACAACCCUAGUGAGCUCUCACAAUUCAUCAGUGACAUCUAGUAGUAUGUAGUGGCAACCCAGUAGAAUUGAAAUAAACCUCUAGGUAUAGUUAACAUAUGAUUCAGUCUCUCUAUCGUGAGUCUCGACUACAUGGC